Molecule: non-coding RNA, 76 nt
Organism: Patiria miniata (bat star)
Lineage: Eukaryota; Metazoa; Echinodermata; Asteroidea; Valvatida; Asterinidae
Source: the annotation of a RefSeq genome assembly
AGCUCGGUGGUCGAGUGGUCACAAGACGUCUGCUUUAGAAAGUAGGAGGUCGUGAGUUCGAGUCCCACCCGAGUGA